CGAGUAUCAUCCCAUGAGGCCCAAUUGAAUUGCCGCGGUUUUGAUGCAUCGAAUUUCCCACAACCAGCAACCGCCAACCAGAGAGGUGGCAGAGCAGAACUUCUUAGAGCGAGUUUUCGUAAGGUAUGAUUUUCUCACACACAUUAGAAUUUGAACAUCAUUGGGAUUUGUUAUUGCAACUGAUUGAUCGUGGUGAAAUUCUAAUGUAAAUUUGUUUAAGAAGGAAAGGGAAGGGAGGUCGAGCUUGUGUGGUUGUUCUUGGUGAUCUUGGUCGAAGUCCUCGUAUGCAGUAUCAAGCUCUUUCUCUCUCCCGCCAGAAUCCCCCUUCUGUUCCAACGUUAAUUGCUGUAAAAUGGGAUAGCGUACUAAAGCGAUCUGCAUAUAUCAUUGAUUGGCAUAAUUUGGGUCAUACUCUGCUUACCCUUUCCCUAGGAAGAAAUAGCAAUUUUGUUGCUGCAUACCGCUGGUACUGAAUAUGAUUUUCCCACUCUUUUUGUCCAUUCCGUAUGUGGUUGGCUGAUCUAUCGUUGGCUAAAGUACAAUGUGAUUUGAGUCUAGAAUUGAAAAGCAUUUUGGGAAGAUGGCAGAUGGCUCCUUUUGUGUCACGAAGGCAAUGCAACAUGAGUUGGCUGAAAACUGGGAUAUCAAGUAAGAGGAUGAGGCUGAUGGGUGGAUUUAUUUCCUUCUUUUUUAUGUUUUCCUUUUUUAUAUGCAGAGCCACAGUUUUUCCACAUUGCUUCACUCCAAGAAAAAUGAGAAAAAUGAGUUGUUUUAUAGGCUGCAUAAUGAUAUAAUUCCAAGUCUCAUGGUCUUCAAGGUUGUGUUAGCUAUGGUGCGGGAAUGGUAGGCCAUGAGCAGCAGUAGACGUUGUUAACAAGCCUGGUUGGCAAGGAUAUUUUGUUGAAGCAAAACAGAUAUGCAGUUGUUGUGAGCAGCACAAGCUGGGCUCCAGAUGAAGAUUUUAGUAUCCUUUAAGAAUCUCCAGUCUAAGUAUGACAGGCGUGUUGCUGCAAUGCUUAAUGAGGAUGAUUCAAUUUGUGAUAAAUUUAUCUGGAGUGAAAUCUAUGAUAGGAAAGAAAUAUUUAUAUCCUAGGUUACCGUUCAUAAUUACUUUUUGUUGAGAAUUAUUGGGACUAAUAAGAGAGAUGAUCAUGAAUUUAUAAGUAAGGAAUACAACUCUAUUGGCAUAGACAUUUUGGGAAACCAAAAACAAAACCAUGAGAGCUUAGCUCAAAGUGGACAAUAUCAUUGGUGGAGAUGGAGAUAUGUUACUAACACUUUUCCCUAACUCUCCUUCUGCUUGGACCUAUCUAAAUUAGAGACCUUCCUCUGUUUAUAAAAGGUAAAGGGCCCAACAAAAAAAAAAGUAUGAAGAUAAGAUCAGUACAUUACACCUUAAGCGUGUGGCAUUUCGUACAAUGCGACUGUCUGCAGAGGAUUACCCAUUACUUCUCGGAUCAGCAGAUCUAGGCGUUUGUUUGCAUAUUUCUUCAUCAGGCUUGGAUCUUCCAAUGAAGGUAUGCAAUAGUUCUUUAAGGGAUGCUAUUAAAUUGAGAAUCAAAGGACGCUAUUUAACCAUCAACAUUUGCUUCCAUGAAUUGCUAUAUUUCCAUCUUUGAAAUUUAUAAAAACUACGAUCACAUAUUGUAUUAUAUUUGAUGGAAUGAAAAAUUACAUAUCUGAUGAUGAAAACAGAUUUAUGAUAAUUCAGACAAUUCCGAUUAUAUGCGCAUCCACCAAAAAAAAAAAAAGAAAGAGAAACCAACAAAAAUGCUUCAUAUUCAGAACAUUGACCCACAAAACAUAUUUCAAUAACAAAAGUACCUGAGUAGUCCAUACAAACACGCAAAACGAAAAAUAAAAACAGUCGAAAAAGAAAA
RNA transcript from Cucurbita maxima (winter squash), 1880 nucleotides. It is a transcript of the gene named UDP-glycosyltransferase TURAN-like, with no coding region annotated. NCBI's taxonomy places the organism in Eukaryota, Viridiplantae, Streptophyta, Magnoliopsida, Cucurbitales, Cucurbitaceae. The transcript has 6 exons. The record is from RefSeq and is a predicted model, not a curated record.